GGAUGAGAAGAGGGUUUGCGUGUGUUUAGCUGCGAAAAUUUUGAGUGGCGGAAAAAUGAAGUUAGAUAGUUUCAAGGAUAAAUGGUUGACAAGUGUCCCUUCUAGAAUGGCGGCAGACUUGAAAAUGCUGGAGGGAGAAGUGCUGUAUGAAAGGGCUGGAGUCCAGGACUGGAUUCGUGCUUUCAGUGUUGCAGAUCUUCCAUCGUCUCCCGCUG
Molecule: unclassified non-coding RNA, 215 nt
Filed under: Hevea brasiliensis (rubber tree)
Lineage: Eukaryota; Viridiplantae; Streptophyta; Magnoliopsida; Malpighiales; Euphorbiaceae
Source: RNAcentral